UAAAGGUUUUACCUCUGCAGUAAUGGAGCGUCUGGGUACCAUGACGGGGGACACUGUGGAAAAUGCAACUUCAGACAGAUUAUGACAGAUGGAAUCUUAAUGGAUGGGAGAAGGGACAGAGCUGAAAUGGAAAUAAUAUCCAUUCUCCUAGUAAUACAUUCUAAAAUUACUAAGUGCCAGACUGAACCUAAUCCACUAUGCAACAUUCUAAUGACCAGCCCAUCCCAGGAGACGUCAAACCAUCAAAAGCCUAUAUGCAGAAGCCCAGAGGAGUGAAGUGGCACAAUGGCAAGGGAAAUCCCAAAUUAAGAACUCAGAGGAAGGGACACCCUGUCUGGACCCCUCCAAGGGCAGUCUCAGGAAACCCUCAGAUCUGCUGUCCUGGUGUGAAACCCAUGAGUAAAUGAUAGACCAUCCUUUGGACUGAGAGAGUUUGCUGCCUAGGGCUAUGAGGCACAUUACAAGAUGCAGAGGAAGAUCAUUAGGGUAUUCUAGAAGAUUUAUGAGAUAUUUAGGGACCAAGGGCAGGCAAAGAGGCAACUGAAAGCUGUCUCAUGAUGUUCCAUGUGCACAGUUCAGAGUUAAAUAAUACAUGUUAUUUCUGCAGUUCAUUCACUAUUGAUGUAAUUCUGUAUUCAAGGUAUUUGAGUUAUUCACUCUGUUAUAAUCCUAAAAAGAGCAAGCAGUUUCUUAAAAUUGUUUUAGUUGUAUACAGAUAUAUAAAAUCCUCUUGGGUCACUUGGAGUUUUCUGGUAGGUUUGACUCGUUGGUUUCUAUUACAUCUUGGUGUGUUCAUCUAUUUUUACCUGUUUGUUUUAAAAUCUCCUGCAAUGAAGAAAACACCUACUAGUUUGAAUCAGGAUCAUAACAAAGUCUUCUUAAAAAAAAGAAUAAAUCUGUCAGUGACAAAUAGGUGGAAACAGAAUUUUCUAGCAUUUUAGUUUAGAUUUUCCCUACAGUUCUAAGCAUUGUGUCUCAAUAAUUUAGCUGGCAUUUAACUACACUAUUGGUAAACAAUAGAAGUAAUCAUAUUGCUUUCUAAAUAUCACAAACCUCUAGUACAAGCUACAGAAUCACUGAAUAGUACAAUAUGUGCAGAGGACCUGUAACUCAAAGUUUUGAGUUCAUUUAAGUGCUGAGGUGAAAUAAGAAUAUAUAUUUGUUAAAAAUCAUAACAAUAUCUACUUUUCAAAUUAAAUCCAUAAACAGUACUACUGCUUAUUCAGAUUCAGGAGAGAACAUGUGAGUAAUCAGAACUUAUACGCCACAGAAAAGCAUCAUGCUUAUUUAUACCCUCUGAAAUUACAUAUACAAACUUGUUCAGAAUGACAAACAGAUGAUACACCUGUCCAUUUGUUCCAGAAUUAUUCUCUGUAACUGUACCUAGAAAGUUUGAACUGCAACACUGCUCUGAUUAAAAUAUCUGCAGUGACAUCUAACUAAAGCUGGUCUUAAGUGGAAUGAGAUUCUUU
Molecule: long non-coding RNA, 1472 nt
Organism: Pogoniulus pusillus (Red-fronted tinkerbird)
Lineage: Eukaryota; Metazoa; Chordata; Aves; Piciformes; Lybiidae
Exons: 2
Source: RefSeq, a predicted model, not a curated record